AGGUUGCGCGUGGCUCGGAAACGGUUUAUUCAGUGUUGUUGGAUGGAAGAAGUCUAUGUGAAUGGUUGCUAUGGUUUUUUCAUGGAGGUUAUUUGGUUUGUUGUAUAUAAUAGCGGAAAAAGCAAAGGAAAAAAAGGUUAAGGUUGUGUGGUUGUUUCGGAUCGGUUUCUAGUGAUUUUUCGGUGAGAUUCAUUUCUCACUUCUCCUUAUAUUUUUUGUUCUCUUAUGCUUAGUGUGAAAACUGUUGUAGUGGAUCGUGUUCAGUGGAAUAGUGAGGUUGAUAUGGUUGUUUCUGUUAUGGUUUGUUGUGAGUGAAACGUAGAGAAGUUUUUGUAUGUGUUUACUGGUCAAGAGUU
This 356-nucleotide long non-coding RNA is filed under the name Lathyrus oleraceus (garden pea). Its description in RNAcentral is "Pisum sativum (pea) long non-coding RNA (PSAT_LNC000974)". Lineage: Eukaryota; Viridiplantae; Streptophyta; Magnoliopsida; Fabales; Fabaceae. The record is from RNAcentral.